ACGUGGCAACUCCGGGAGGAUUGUGCGAAGCUUCUCCUUUCAGACACAAGGGUGGUGAAAGCGACCAAUCGGAAGCCUUCAUCGUUGCACCGCCUCACUUCGUUACCCUCGCGAGAAGCAGUUCCAUUUCCAAGAGAAGAGCAUAAUCAUAGCAGAUGCCAAAAGCAGCAGAUGGAAACAGAUCAUUUUCUCAUGGGGUCCCUAGAUGGCAGUAAAGAGUUACCGCCGGCCCUUCUAAGAAUCUAAGGAUUAUAUCCAAGGAAAAGAAAGGUCUUGAAUCCGUUUGAAUUUGGUUUGGGAUGAAUGGGAAGGAGAACAAGUUUGCGUUUUGUCAAGGUUGAUGUGACUUUCCUUUUUGAAAGUGAUGAUGGAAUAUAUUUAAUUUUAAAUAUAUUAAAGAAUGGACUUCCUC
Non-coding RNA from Pantherophis guttatus, 412 nucleotides. Lineage: Eukaryota; Metazoa; Chordata; Lepidosauria; Squamata; Colubridae. The record is from RefSeq and is a predicted model, not a curated record.